Molecule: long non-coding RNA, 1696 nt
Organism: Nymphaea colorata (pocket water lily)
Lineage: Eukaryota; Viridiplantae; Streptophyta; Magnoliopsida; Nymphaeales; Nymphaeaceae
Exons: 10
Source: RefSeq, a predicted model, not a curated record
CUUUCGUUUUCUCUCUCCUCCCGAGAGUUCUUCCCUCUCUCGUGAAAAUUAUCGCAGCUCCUUUCCCUUUGUUGCAGAGAGCCCAUUCUUAGUAGAGAGGUAUUACUGAAUCCUUAAUUCCUAAGGAGACAGAGAUCAAAGACUGGACAAUGAAUUGAACCUCUAGACAUGAGCGUGAAUGCCUGUCGGGUUUUGGGUGGAAGCCCAUCUCCCUUUAGCGGAGGAUCGUUCUCUGGCUGACUGGUUCGGCCGGGGAUGGUCUUGAGGUUGUCUUGAGGACCGCAAUUCUUUUGGGUGCCACUCAGAGAGCGGCGGGAGCUCUUCCUUGACAAACAGCGAGCAGGCAAAACCAGUGAUCGGAGCUAUUCUUGUUGGCAUUAAAGAAGACUGGUCACUGUCUGCUCACAGGGGUGAACCGACAGAGUGAAAGUUUUCUAGACUUCAGACGAGUCUUCCUCUGUGCUCAAGCCCAAGUCACCUCUCUGCCAUCAACAGGAGGAAGACGCUAGGGAUCCUAACAUUGGGUGUUAGCUGCUCAUCGGCAGAGAAGAUUUCCGUCACUCAAUUUUAAGGGUUUUAAAAGAAAGAAGGAAUGCUCAACAAGAGCAUAAGAAGAUCAUAUGAGGCAAAAACCAUCAAGCUUCAAGCAGUGAGUCAUUAUAGAGCAAGAAAGGGAAACCAGGAAUGACAACGAUGAAGCCACCACCAUCAUACAAACCAGCGAUGGGUCAACGCAUAUGAUUGUCGUUCAUGAACAAGUCCAUUGCAGAAACCUGACGACUGGGCAUCAACAAACUACACUUGUGGGGAAGUGGAAACCCAAGAUUAAAAUUCAUGCGGUCAAGAUCAUGACCUGGAAGAGAAACUUCUUCAUAAAUAUAAUGGUUACUUGAUUAGCUAGAAACAAGAUUUCUCCAAGAAGAAGAAGAAAAGGAAGCUGCCAAAAGAAGCCAGUUAGAUGCUCUUGACUAACACAAUUUUCACUACAAGUGGCCAUAUCCAAUAGUUAUAUUAGAUCAAGAACUUAAGUGAAGGCAUUUGGGAGACCUACAAGGAUGAAAAUGAUGAACCAGAUUAGCUGUCUUCUCCAAAGGAUUUUCCACACAAUGGCCCUUCCUUCUAUCGCAUAGUGUUUAUGCUCGGCAUUUGACAAAAGUAGCAUAUGAGCAAAAAUUUAUCAGCCUUGGAGAGGAUUUCAAGUGAUCAUUUAGGUACUGAACUGAAACCUUGCCAUGUUGGGGUCUUCGUUAUGUUGUAGAUGAGUAGAAGGGAUUAUCAUAACCAAGUGACGACUGAUGAGUGACACAAUUAAACGACUGUGAGCACAAAGAUUGAGUUGGUUCAUCUCAACAAAAGGUCUACUAAUAGCGAUCUAAUAAAGAGAUUGAGAUGGAGCAGCGACCUCAUUCACAUUGCCCGGCAUGAGAAGAUUGUAUGGCUCCAUAGAUUUUGCCACCCAAAUGUUUUAUCAUUUCAAGGGGCAGAUUCUUUCCUCUUAAUUUGUCUAUCAUUGUUUACUUACUAAAUGUUUGCAUUUGCUAAGUUUAUCUGCAAAAUUUGGUGUUCUUGUAAUUUAGUUUUUGGUGACAGAGCUAUGAUCAGUCAGUUCUUUCAAAAAAGUGUUUGCAUCUAAAGCAUGUUUUCUACCAUAUGAACUAUAGAAUUAUAGUGUCUUGUUCUUGAUACUUUCUGAUAA